This 25-nucleotide non-coding RNA is filed under the name Rattus norvegicus (Norway rat). The record is from RNAcentral. Lineage: Eukaryota; Metazoa; Chordata; Mammalia; Rodentia; Muridae.
AGAUAAAUCUUGAGCAUGGGUGUCA